AUGCUCCCUUUGGCAGUAUAUGUACUAAAAUUGGAACAAUACAGAGAUUAGCAAGGCUCCCGUGCUUUGGCUGAGGCCCUUAUGAAGCAUUCCAUACGAAA
This 101-nucleotide small nuclear RNA is filed under the name Fukomys damarensis (Damara mole-rat). Lineage: Eukaryota; Metazoa; Chordata; Mammalia; Rodentia; Bathyergidae. The record is from RNAcentral.